AGGCGCGUAGCUCAGUGGGAGAGCGUUACCUUGACGCGGUAGAGGUCGCGGGUUCAAUCCCCGCCGCGCCUA
This 72-nucleotide transfer RNA is filed under the name Deltaproteobacteria bacterium. Its description in RNAcentral is "tRNA-Val". It matches the Rfam family "tRNA". From Rfam's summary of the family: Transfer RNA (tRNA) molecules are approximately 80 nucleotides in length. Their secondary structure includes four short double-helical elements and three loops (D, anti-codon, and T loops). Lineage: Bacteria; Pseudomonadati; Myxococcota; Myxococcia. The record is from RNAcentral.